This is a long non-coding RNA of Leopardus geoffroyi (Geoffroy's cat), 510 nucleotides long. RefSeq lists it as uncharacterized. The record is from RefSeq and is a predicted model, not a curated record. The transcript has 2 exons. NCBI's taxonomy places the organism in Eukaryota, Metazoa, Chordata, Mammalia, Carnivora, Felidae.
GCCAUUGGAUAGAUUCCUUGUUAAAGUUGCAUGAAAAGAAAGAUUCCACUGAGCCAAUAGAUAGCAGUGAUUCCGUUAGUGAAAGUGAAAGUUGUCCCGCACGAUAACCCUCCUCUCUCUUGCCUCCCUCACACCAGCCACGAAGGUUUUCAAAGUACUAUGUGACCCAGUCUGGCGAAUGAAAUAUAAAAUACCGGGAAUAUACUGGAAAGCUUUUGGGGAAAAUCUCCUCCAUGACAACAAGAACGUUUGUGAAGAAAAAUGCGCAGUCCCAUGAUUUGCUUGCCCUUGGACCCCCCUCUCCCACCGCAGUCUUGCCUCUGAAUGUACCUGCUUCAAGUAUGUGAUACUUGGGACGGUUGCAGGCCACGGGGCAGUCAUGAGAUCACACGAAUCUUUGAAAUGCUAAUGCUGAGCGCUAAUAUCAUUGGCCACUAAAUCAACACUAGUAGCCAUUAUGUAUUUGCAGACUUCUUGUUAUUGCAGAACAACAAACAACUGAAUGUAGGC